Molecule: long non-coding RNA, 722 nt
Filed under: Equus caballus (horse)
Lineage: Eukaryota; Metazoa; Chordata; Mammalia; Perissodactyla; Equidae
Description: lncRNA (ENSECAG00000060256.1)
Source: RNAcentral
UGCCUGCGGUGGGCUGUGAUGUUUUUAAGUAGGGGAAAUUGUUGAUCCUAACAAAAUAGGAAGAAGAGGAAGAUGAGUAUGAGGAAACUGAGGCUCCAAGAGGUGAUGUAACUGAAGUCUCCCGGCUCAUAGGAGGCAGCACUGGUAUUAGAGUUGACUUUGUUUCCCGGGGUCCUGUACGUCUGGAUUUGGGAAGGUCAGAGCCGGAUUCGCCAUGGCCCACAGGGGAAGAGAGGAUCCUGAGCAGAGCAUCGGCUGCAGCGACGACCCUCGUUCCCACCCCUGUGUUGAGGCCGGAGCACCGGACAGACCUGAGCUGCUGCCGCUCUUCUCUCGGCUGCUGUGACCACGCACACAAAUAGAAUUCAUCCCCAUUAGCCCUUGCUGACCUCCCUCUUGUCUAACAAGCAAGUGUAAAGGCUUCUCUGGAUUAAACUUGGCCCUUUAAGCCUCAGCAUAAAAAGAGAAAGAUCAAUGCCUUCAGGGCACAAAGAGCCAAAGUGCUUUCUCUUUUGGGAAACCACUCACCAGGAGUGAGCAGACACUCCGUCUCCCUUAAUAUGGAGCCACUACCCUCUUGGGACUGUUGUCCAGAAGUUUCUGCCUUAGUUUCCACCUCUUGUGCUCUUCUUUGCGGGUGGAGGAGGGGCUUGUCUGAUGAGUGAAUUCAGUGGACAUUGUCAUUCUGUAAUGCACACAAUUAAAUGAUGUUUGAUUUUCAG